CUUCCUCCCACUCCCAACCUCGAGCCCCCGACCUCCAUCCCUCAACCUUCUCUCCUCCUCCAUCUCCGCCCCUGAACUGCCUUUCUCCUCUAUCUCUAUCUCUGCACCUGUCCCAGUCGUCUUUCUCUCCUUUUCCUCCUUCUCGCCCCCGUGCUGCCCUUCUCGCCCCACGUGCUGCCUUUGGUCGAACAGAAAUAGAAAGAGGAGAGCAUUCGCAGUGGCCCCUGAGGAAGGGGACGUCACGCCUCCUUUUCUUGACGUCGCAGACUCUGCUCCGCCUGAGGAACCAUCGCUGCGCCUCUCUGCUCCGCCCGAGGAAUCGGCACAGUCCGGCCUCAUCCUCUUCGCUCGCUGCUCGUCUAAAAGUUGUUUGUGCCUGAGGAAUCGUCGCCCACCAUCGAAUCACUUGUCAAUCACGUAGGAACUAGACGGUGAUGCAUCUUCUAAAGUAUUACAUGGAUUUGAUGAGAAGCGUAGUGUGCAGGACAGAAGACUAGUUAUCUAGCAAGUUGUCAUAGUUGUUUUUGUUUUAUGGUUUACAACAAUUGAAUAUUUUAAACAAUUUGUAUUUUGUAGUUUUAGUUGAUACUGGUGACUAUAUAGAUGUUUAAACAUUGUACAAUAAUAAUGUUUUGUUAUAUAUAUAUGAAUGUAUUGAAAUAGUUG
Nymphaea colorata (pocket water lily) is the source of this 666-nucleotide long non-coding RNA. RefSeq lists it as uncharacterized. The record is from RefSeq and is a predicted model, not a curated record. Lineage: Eukaryota; Viridiplantae; Streptophyta; Magnoliopsida; Nymphaeales; Nymphaeaceae. The transcript has 4 exons.